AACCAUCCUAUGCUAAAGGUGUCCUUUCUAAAAGCCUUGCAACAGUUAAAUGAGUUAGUUCAUUUGUAUUUCUCUUGGAUACAGGGGAACACAGUAUUUAAACUGGGAAGACUAAAGGAUCUCUGGCAUUAUGAACAGAUUGGAGUUUCUGUUGACAGAUCUAAUUGUCAGAAAGGUUUUCCCCUUUUGCAAUAUGUUGGACCAAGAAAGAAAGAAAGGAAAUAAGAGAGCGCACAGGCAGGCAGAGUGGAAGGCAGAGGCAGAGGGAGAAGCAGGCUCCCUCCCAAGCAAGGAGCCAGAUGUGGGACUCCAUCCCAGAUCUCUGGGAUCAUGACUUGAGCAGAACACAGCCACUUGACCGACUGAGCCCCCCAGGCAUUCCGGAACUGUAGUUUUUAAAUGUAAAACCAGCAAGGGUCCCAGAAGGAGGAUGAUCCUGAGAAAUUUUAACAGAUUGGGACACCAUUACUCAAAAACCAGAGGUUCAGGAAGCAGAAGAGUAUUCACCAGGAAGGACAAUGCUUUCAUAAAAACGACAUCAAAAAACCAGAUCCUGAGUAAAGUCAGCCAAAAGUCGCCCUAAAGGAGGGAACUCAGAUCUGAAAGGAGACUCACUGAACCAAAUGGAAAGAGAUGACUCACAGAAGCAGAGAAAGAGAGCGCACAGGAGCUUAGUUGUCACUACAGUCUGAAGAAGACGGUUGUCCAAGCUCAAACCAACACAUCCACAUGUAAGGCAGCAAGACUGGAGAAAGAUGCAACUAUCCCCAGGAAUCACCCAGACACAGAGUGACAUUUUAAAGGAGAAACCACUGGAUGCCAUAGUCUUUUUAAAAAUAAUAUUAGAGGAAGAGCUCAAAGGAAUGUCUGCCCAAGCACCAGUAUCUAUAGCCUCGUAUUCAAGAAGAAUCCAGCCACUUGAAGAAGCAGCGAGCCAGUACUGCUCACUUCAGCUCCUGUCCUCUUGGAUCUACUUUGUUGUGCUCAGCAUCAGAUUCGAAACUGGUGACAUCCUGUCAGUGGCACAGCUCUUCUUACCUGUUAUGUUGUUAAAUCUGUGCUAAAUUUGUGAUGUUGCUGCUCUUUCAUAUUCAUGCUUCAUCCGCCCAGAUCAAGAGUUUCUUGAGCUCAGGGGUCACACUUUAUACUCCAUUCAGUCUUGCCUAGUUGUGUUUGUCUUGGUAAACACAGGAAAUAGCUGUUGGACAGAUGAAUGAGAGAAUGACAAAGGCUGGGAAACAGUAGAAGGUGAACUGCUCUGCUACCUGGUAAAGAGGAUUAUGAAACUCUUCAGAUUAGCAGGAAAGGUGGUGUUUCAUUUGUGUCCGCAGAUAGGGAUCUUAGCCCCAGGGUUGCCGGCUUGCUUUCACUCAUUCAACAAACAUUUCUCUAAGUUUCUCCAGAAGAGCCAGGCAAGCAUUGCGGUGGCAGGCCCCCAAUAAGACAAAGUGCCUGUGGGGGUGAGGGAGACAUGCGGCAUCACAGACUCAGGGAGAUACAAUGGGGUUGGCAAUAUGAUAAUGGCAUGCACAUGGCACAUGGAGAUUCUAAAUCAGAUUGUGGCUUCCAGAGAAGCUUCUGGAAAGAGAAGCAUUUUUAUUCAUGUGUUCAAGGAUGAAUGAGUGUUGGCUAGAGGAGACUGAUUAGGAAAAGCAUUACAGGGAGAAGAACUAGCAUGGGAAUGUGUUCUGUGCCAUAAAAUAGAAGGUUACAUUGAGAACUAAAGUCUCAGCUGAAAUGGUAGCUGUGCCUAGAGGUGAAGUCAGAGAGCUAGGCUAGAAUAGCCUUGCAGAGGACCUUGUGGCAAUAUGAUUUAGUAUUUCAGAGUGAAGGUUUAGAAAUCAGACAGAACUGAGUUCAAAUCCUUGCUCUGGUACUUACAAUCCAUGUAACUAACUGAUUUGUUUUUUUUUAAUUCCUCGAAGUCUUGGUUUCCUUAGCACAGUGUCUAGCUGUAUCACUUUUCUAUUGUUACAUAAGAAAUUAUCCCAAAUCAUAACAGCUUAAAAUAGUACACAUUUAUUAAGUUCUCACAGGUCCAGAAUCUGGUCUUCGGCUUCAGGGUCUCCCACGAGGCUGUAAUGAAGUAUCAGCCAGAGAUGAGGUAUUAUCUCAAGAUGUGAGAAGGAUCCAUUUCCAAGCUCACUUACAUGAUUGUUGGGGGAAUUCAACAAUGGAUGGCCAUUGGCCAGAGGCUGCCCUCAGUUCCUUGACAUGUGGGCCUCCCCAGCAUAUCAGCUUGCAUCAUCAGUCAGUGACAGAGGGCCUGUGACCAAGACAGAUGUAGCCUAAUCAGCUAAGUGACUUCUUGUCACCAUUGCCACAUUCUGUAGAGUAAAAGUCAUUGGGCCAUCCCACACUCCAGGGAAUGAACACCAUAAAAUGGGGAUCUUUGGGAGUCAUUUUAAGCCAGUAGCCUAUAGCUGGUAGCCUAUGUUAGUAGCUGAUAGCUUAUAUUACCACCAAAUAAAUGUCAGCUUUUUAAAAUUAAACUCAGUUGAUAGUUUUGGAAAACCUAGUGAAAGCUGGUGAAGGAGUUUAUAACAAAGAGUAACUUUAGGUGACCUUGGCUAGGUCAAAUCAUUUCACAUCAUGUCUUCGAGCCUUUCUUUCCUCCUAAGUAUGGUGAAAAUAUCUAUCUCUCAUAGAAAUGAGAACAUAUAUGUGCAAGCAGAAAUACACUUUGGUAAAAACAAGCAUACAACUCUUCACAGUGGGAGGAAGCUUACUGCCUUGGGCCAGCUUUCCACUUUGCACUGAUACUGGGACUCUCACAGUUUGAUAUCUUCAGAGUUUUCAGGGCUUGACCUGUGGGCCCAGAAGGAUUUGUAUAACUGGAAUAAACACCCACAAAAAGAAAUUUGUCUUUUGAACAUCGCUUAAGGCAUUUCCAAGAGUUUGCUUUUUUCCAUCUUUUUAAAUACCUUUGCUUCCAAGGACCCCAUGGGGGCUAGAGAGAGAAAACAGACUAUCUGGGAAAUUUCAAGCUCUUGAUAAUAAAAGUGGUAAUAAAAUCUCGUCUGGCUC
Long non-coding RNA from Mustela lutreola (European mink), 3027 nucleotides. RefSeq lists it as uncharacterized. NCBI's taxonomy places the organism in Eukaryota, Metazoa, Chordata, Mammalia, Carnivora, Mustelidae. The record is from RefSeq and is a predicted model, not a curated record. The transcript is spliced from 4 exons.